RNAcentral lists this ribosomal RNA (497 nucleotides) under uncultured bacterium. RNAcentral's name for it is "partial 16S ribosomal RNA". It matches the Rfam family "Bacterial small subunit ribosomal RNA", at positions 28 to 507 of the family's 1533-position model. The record is from RNAcentral.
GAUGAACGCUGGCGGCGUGCCUAAUACAUGCAAGUCGAGCGAACGGACGAGAAGCUUGCUUCUCUGAUGUUAGCGGCGGACGGGUGAGUAACACGUGGAUAACCUCCCUAUAAGACUGGGAUAACUUCGGGAAACCGGAGCUAAUACCGGAUCAUAUUUUGAACCGCAUGGUUCAAAAGUGAAAGACGGUCUUGCUGUCACUUAUCGAUGGAUCCGCGCUGCAUUAGCUAGUUGGUAAGGUAACGGCUUACCAAGGCAACGAUGCAUAGCCGACCUGAGAGGGUGAUCGGCCACACUGGAACUGAGACACGGUCCAGACUCCUACGGGAGGCAGCAGUAGGGAAUCUGCCGCAAUGGGCGAAAGCCUGACGGAGCAACGCCGCGUGAGUGAUGAAGGUCUUCGGAUCGUAAAACUCUGUUAUGAGGGAAGAACAUAUGUGUAAGUAACUGUGCACAUCUUGACGGUACCUAAUCAGAAAGCCACGGCUAACUACGUG